Molecule: ribosomal RNA, 405 nt
Filed under: uncultured bacterium
Lineage: Bacteria
Description: partial 16S ribosomal RNA
Rfam family: Bacterial small subunit ribosomal RNA
Source: RNAcentral
AUUGAACGCUGGCGGCAGGCUUAACACAUGCAAGUCGAACGAGUGGCGGACGGGUGAGUAAUGCUUGGGAAUCUGGCUUAUGGAGGGGGAUAACUACGGGAAACUGUAGCUAAUACCGCGUACCAUCGGAUGAGCCCAAGUGGGCUUAGGUAGUGGGUGAGGUAACGGCGCACCAAGUCGACGAUCUCUAGCUGGUCUGAGAGGAUGACCAGCCACACUGGAACUGAGACACGGCCCAGACUCCUACGGGAGGCAGCAGUGGGGAAUAUUGCGCAAUGGGGGCAAACUGACGCAGCAAGGCCGCGUGAAUGAAGAAGGCCUUCGGGUGGUAAAGUUCUUUCGGUAGCGAGGCGUUAACUACAGAAGAAGCACCGGCUAACUCCGUGCCAGCAGCCGCGGUAAUUC